GACGAACGCUGGCGGCGUGCCUAAUACAUGCAAGUCGAACGAGAGCGACCGGUGCUUGCACUGGUCAAUCUAGUGGCGAACGGGUGAGUAACACGUGGGUAACCUGCUCAUCAGAGGGGAAUAACAUCCGGAAACGGAUGCUAAAACCGCAUAGGUCUUCGAGCCGCAUGGCUUGAAGAGGAAAAGAGGCGCAAGCUUCUGCUGAUGGAUGGACCCGCGGUGCAUUAGCUAGUUGGUGAGGUAACGGCUCACCAAGGCCGUGAUGCAUAGCCGACCUGAGAGGGUGAUCGGCCACAUUGGGACUGAGACACGGCCCAAACUCCUACGGGAGGCAGCAGUAGGGAAUCUUCCGCAAUGGACGCAAGUCUGACGGAGCAACGCCGCGUGAGUGAAGAAGGUUUUCGGAUCGUAAAACUCUGUUGUUAGAGAAGAACAAGUGCUAGAGUAACUGUUAGCGCCUUGACGGUAUCUAACCAGAAAGCCACGGCUAACUACGUG
This 498-nucleotide ribosomal RNA is filed under the name uncultured bacterium. Its description in RNAcentral is "partial 16S ribosomal RNA". It matches the Rfam family "Bacterial small subunit ribosomal RNA", at positions 28 to 507 of the family's 1533-position model. The record is from RNAcentral.